Molecule: ribosomal RNA, 760 nt
Filed under: Plasmodium ovale wallikeri
Lineage: Eukaryota; Apicomplexa; Aconoidasida; Haemosporida; Plasmodiidae
Description: SSU rRNA
Rfam family: Eukaryotic small subunit ribosomal RNA
Source: RNAcentral
UCUCCUUUACUUUUUGUACUGGAGAUUUUGUUACUUUGAGUAAAUUAGAGUGUUCAAAGCAAACAGUUAAAGCAUUUUACUGCGUUUGAAUACUACAGCAUGGAAUAACAAAAUUGAACAAGUCAAAACUCUGUUCCUUUUUCUUAUUUUGGCUUAGUUACGAUUAAUAGGAGUAGCUUGGGGGCAUUUGUAUUCAGAUGUCAGAGGUGAAAUUCUUAGAUUUUCUGGAGACAAACAACUGCGAAAGCAUUUGCCUAAAAUACUUCCAUUAAUCAAGAACGAAAGUUAAGGGAGUGAAGACGAUCAGAUACCGUCGUAAUCUUAACCAUAAACUAUGCCGACUAGGUUUUGGAUGAAAGAUUUUUAAAUAAGAAAAUUCCUUUUGGAAAUUUCUUAGAUUGCUUCCUUCAGUACCUUAUGAGAAAUCAAAGUCUUUGGGUUCUGGGGCGAGUAUUCGCGCAAGCGAGAAAGUUAAAAGAAUUGACGGAAGGGCACCACCAGGCGUGGAGCUUGCGGCUUAAUUUGACUCAACACGGGGAAACUCACUAGUUUAAGACAAGAGUAGGAUUGACAGAUUAAUAGCUCUUUCUUGAUUUCUUGGAUGGUGAUGCAUGGCCGUUUUUAGUUCGUGAAUAUGAUUUGUCUGGUUAAUUCCGAUAACGAACGAGAUCUUAACCUGCUAAUUAGCGGCGAAUACGUUAUAUUCCUACUUGAAAUUGAAUAUAGCUGAAUUGCAUAAUUGGAGAAAAAAAAACCAGAG